Molecule: unclassified non-coding RNA, 329 nt
Filed under: soil metagenome
Description: partial contains 5.8S ribosomal RNA, internal transcribed spacer 2, and large subunit ribosomal RNA
Rfam family: 5.8S ribosomal RNA (bases 1-120)
Source: RNAcentral
GAUGAAGAAAGCAGCGAAAUGCGAUAAGUGAUGUGAAUUGCAGAAUUCAGUGAAUCAUCGAAUCUUUGAACGCACAUUGCGCCCUCUGGUAUUCCGGGGGGCAUGCCUGUUCGAGCGUCAUUAUAACCACUCAAGCUCUCGCUUGGUAUUGGGGUUCGCGGUUUCGCGGCCCCUAAAAUCAGUGGCGGUGCCUGUCGGCUCUACGCGUAGUAAUACUUCUCGCGAUUGAGUUCGAUAGGUCUACUUGCCAGUAACCCCCAAUUUUUACAGGUUGACCUCGGAUCAGGUAGGGAUACCCGCUGAACUUAAGCAUAUCAAUAAGCGGAGGA